RNAcentral lists this long non-coding RNA (514 nucleotides) under Zostera marina. RNAcentral's name for it is "long non-coding RNA (ZMAR_LNC005854)". The record is from RNAcentral. Lineage: Eukaryota; Viridiplantae; Streptophyta; Magnoliopsida; Alismatales; Zosteraceae.
GCAGAGGAGGUUGUGGAUUCUAAUCUCGAGACAAAACCAAGCAUCAGAGCUCUCAAACGGGCAAUUCUAAUCGCUUUAAAGUGUGUCGAUAUGGAUUCUGAAAAGAGACCCAAAAUGUGUCAUGUUGUUAGAAUGCUCGAAGCGAAAGAUUCACACCAAGCCGCAACUUCUUCAUCUGAAUCUCACCAGAACAAAAGUAGGAGCUUGGAGAUUGAAUCUCAUCCAGAAAGAUAGCUCGAUCUAGUUUGUAUGAUGACAUAAGUCCAAUCAAAUAUUUACCUGUUAAGAUCAUAUUGUCCAAGCUUCGAUUUGUAAACCUUUCCUUCUAUCAUUGCCAUUUGUUUUUUUUACCUAUAGCAAUAAUAUGUGAUUACCCAAGUAACACGUGGCAAUAUCAGAAACCAAUGAAAGAACUAACUAGUCGAUACUUCAUAGUGUAAUACCUACUUAUCUCUUUCGAACUUUUCAUAUAACCAUGACCGUAAAGAUUCCCACCACCACCAUCGGAGCUACA